Molecule: ribosomal RNA, 399 nt
Filed under: uncultured bacterium
Lineage: Bacteria
Description: partial 16S ribosomal RNA
Rfam family: Bacterial small subunit ribosomal RNA
Source: RNAcentral
CCUACGGGAGGCUGCAGUGAGGAAUAUUGGUCAAUGGGCGCAAGCCUGAACCAGCCAAGUCGCGUGAGGGAUGAAGGUUCUAUGGAUCGUAAACCUCUUUUAUAAGGGAAUAAAGUGCGGGACGUGUCCCUUUUUGUAUGUACUUUAUGAAUAAGGAUCGGCUAACUCCGUGCCAGCAGCCGCGGUAAUACGGAGGAUCCGAGCGUUAUCCGGAUUUAUUGGGUUUAAAGGGUGCGUAGGCGGGUUGUUAAGUCAGUGGUGAAAGUCUGUGGCUCAACCGUAGAAUUGCCGUUGAUACUGGGAGGCUUGAGUACAUUUGAGGUAGGCGGAAUGCGUGGUGUAGCGGUGAAAUGCUUAGAUAUCACGAAGAACGCCGAUUGCGAAGGCAGCCUACCAAGC